AUACCUUUCUCGGCCUUUUGGCUAAGAUCAAGUGUAGUAUCUGUUCUUAUCAGUUUAAUAUCUGAUAUGUGGACCAAUGGUCCAUAUGAUAUUAAAUUAAUUUUUUAAGGGAGGAAGUCCACUAUAGUAGCUUGCUACUGGGAUUUCCAUUUGUCGCUCAUGGGUUGCACUAAAGCAUGAGCCUGGCAUUUCCCAC
Lupinus albus (white lupine) is the source of this 196-nucleotide non-coding RNA. The record is from the annotation of a GenBank genome assembly. NCBI's taxonomy places the organism in Eukaryota, Viridiplantae, Streptophyta, Magnoliopsida, Fabales, Fabaceae.